Molecule: ribosomal RNA, 63 nt
Filed under: Sagina procumbens
Lineage: Eukaryota; Viridiplantae; Streptophyta; Magnoliopsida; Caryophyllales; Caryophyllaceae
Also listed under: 1 other name
Description: 5.8S ribosomal RNA
Source: RNAcentral
AAACGACUCUCGGCAACGGAUAUCUUGGGUUGCGCCCGAAGCUCUCGGGCUUAGGGCACGUCU